This 484-nucleotide ribosomal RNA is filed under the name uncultured bacterium. Its description in RNAcentral is "partial 16S ribosomal RNA". It matches the Rfam family "Bacterial small subunit ribosomal RNA", at positions 29 to 507 of the family's 1533-position model. The record is from RNAcentral.
AUUGAACGCUGGCGGCAUGCUUUACGCAUGCAAGUCGAACGGCAGCGCGGGCUUCGGCCUGGCGGCGAGUGGCGAACGGGUGAGUAAUACAUCGGAACGUGCCCAGUAGUGGGGGAUAGCCCGGCGAAAGCCGGAUUAAUACCGCAUACGACCUGAGGGUGAAAGCGGGGGAUCUUCGGACCUCGCGCUAUUGGAGCGGCCGAUGGCAGAUUAGCUAGUUGGUGGGGUAAAGGCCUACCAAGGCGACGAUCUGUAGCUGGUCUGAGAGGACGACCAGCCACACUGGGACUGAGACACGGCCCAGACUCCUACGGGAGGCAGCAGUGGGGAAUUUUGGACAAUGGGCGAAAGCCUGAUCCAGCAAUGCCGCGUGUGUGAUGAAGGCCUUCGGGUUGUAAAGCACUUUUGGCGGGAACGAAAAGGACUGUGCCAAUACCACGGUUCGAUGACGGUACCCGCAGAAUAAGCACCGGCUAACUACGUG